Molecule: ribosomal RNA, 697 nt
Filed under: bacterium
Lineage: Bacteria
Description: partial 16S ribosomal RNA
Rfam family: Bacterial small subunit ribosomal RNA
Source: RNAcentral
UUGGCUUCUCCUUACAGAGGGCCCCCGGGGGGCCUUUGGGUAGGUUGGGGAGGUUACGGGUCCACCAAGGGGGCCGUUUGGUAGCCGACUUGAGAGGGUGGUUUGGCCCACCCCUGGGGAUUGAGACACGGCCCAGACUUCUUCCGGGAGGGCAGCAGUAGGGAAUUUUUCCCCAAUGGACGAAAAUUGGACGGAGCAACGCCGCGUGAGUGAUGAAGGUUUUCGGAUUGUAAGGUUUUUUUUUUUCCCCCCCCAACAAGUGCAAGAGUAACUGCUUGCACCUUGACGGUACCUAACCAGAAAACCCCGGCUAACUACGUGCCAGCAGCCGCGGUAAUACGUAGGUGGCAAGCGUUUUCCGGAAUUAUUGGGCGUAAAGGGCUCGCAGGCGGUUUUUUAAGUUUGAUGUGAAAGCCCCCGGCUCAACCGGGGAGGGUCAUUGGAAACUGGGAAACUUGAGUGCAGAAGAGGAGAGUGGAAUUCCCCGUGUAGCGGUGAAAUGCGUAGAGAUGUGGAGGAACCCCAGUGGCGAAGGGGACUUUCUGGUCUGUAACUGACGCUGAGGAGCGAAAGCGUGGGGAGCGAACAGGAUUAGAUACCCUGGUAGUUCCCGCCGUAAACGAUGUAGUACUGGAGUGUUAGGGGGUUUCCGCCCCUUAGUGCUGCAGCUAACCGCCAUUAAGCAAAUUUUCCCCGU